This 85-nucleotide ribosomal RNA is filed under the name Streptomyces sp. WAC 01420. RNAcentral describes it as "partial 16S ribosomal RNA". It matches the Rfam family "Bacterial small subunit ribosomal RNA", at positions 1 to 83 of the family's 1533-position model. The record is from RNAcentral. Lineage: Bacteria; Bacillati; Actinomycetota; Actinomycetes; Kitasatosporales; Streptomycetaceae.
CAUUCACGGAGAGUUUGAUCCUGGCUCAGGACGAACGCUGGCGGCGUGCUUAACACAUGCAAGUCGAACGAUGAACCACCUUCGG